GGCAAAAGUGGGAGGGAGUGAAGUGGAGAUGAUAAAAAGGUGGAAGGUGGUAAGGGUGAGUAAGAGAGGAGAGUAAUGAGAUUGAGACAUCUUGAUGAUAGGGGUGGAAGGAAUUAGGGAGUCAUAUAUAGAGGGGAGGAUAUUAAUAGAUAUGCCCAGUUGAGGGUGGUGAGAUUGUUGAUGGUGAUUAAGUUGUGAAAAUGUAAGUAUUAAAAAAAAUACUGUUUUCAAACAGCUUAAGUUUACGAAAAAUAUUGAAAUGCACGUAGGUGGAACAAUCUGGUCUUAUCAUAUUUAACCCUCCAAAAUCAGCAUUUCAUGCAUGAUAAUAUAGGGGAUAUAUCUUGUAUUGGAUGGAAAGAGCUAAAUUAACUAUACAACUAUAUAUAUAUAUAUAUAUAUAUAUAAAGAAAAACGAAAGUCAAGAGUAAUGCAUGUGCACAAUUUGUAGCUUUUAAUCCCCAAGUCAUUGACAUCUAUUAGGGCGGAAACUUGAGUACAGAAUAUGGGCCUAAUUUAAUAAUAUAGUGGUUAAAAGCAUAAUUAGACAGUCUACAAAAUUUAAAAGUACUUAUAAAUUUUUUAUACUAUAAAAUUACAGUUACAAUCGUUGGUGGCGAUUCCAACCGUAAUUUUAAAAUGCUAGAAGAGAGAAAAACUUGUGAUCGAUUUAAAAUUUUUUAUAGUAUAAAAAUAAUAGUUUUAACCACUAUAUUAUCAAAUAAGGUCAGAAGAGUUUAUAUUUUGUUUUUUUUAAGAGGAAAAGAUAAUACGCAACCUGCUUCGCUUAUUUUUUAAAAAAUAAACUUAGCUGAAAAUGAGAAUCAAUUAUAAUUCGAACUAGAGAUCUCAGAUACUAAUCAUUAAAUUUUUNCCGGUAGGGCGGGGUGGAUCGCAUUGUUGGUCGAACAAGAGGAGACGACAGACGGGCCGGAGAGAAUGACGGUAGGGUUUUUCCCGUCGGUGACGAAGAUCGUGAUCGGGGUCAAGGUUAGGGUUAAGUAGUCCCCGUAGGGACAUUUGUCGGUCGUGGGGGCCGACCGAUACGCGGUGCACGUGCAGGGGUAGUGCCCAGCGUCACCGCCGCCCCCCGAGAGGCGAGUGCAUUGACAGGGGCCGGCGGCGGCGCAUUGCAGGGAGCUGCAAAGUGUGGUUGGAUGGUUGGAAGGACAAGAAGACCAUAAGGUGGGGGUGGUGAGGUCUAUGACAUAUUGGCUAUUGAAGUUUAGAGUGAGAGUGUAGAGAGAGGAGGGGGAGUGUUUGUGUAUGGGGGCUACAAGGGUAUUUAUGGGAAUGGCAUGGGCAAAAGUGGGAGGGAGUGAAGUGGAGAUGAUAAAAAGGAGGAAGGUGGUAAGGGUGAGUAAGAGAGGAGAGUAAUGAGAUUGAGACAUCUUGAUGAUAAGGGUGGGAGGAAUUAGGGAGUCAUAUAUAGAGGGGAGAAUAUUAAUAUUUAUGCCUAGAUGAGGGUGGUGAGAUUGUUGAUGGUGAUUAAGUUGUGAAAAUGUAAAUAUUAAAAGAAUUACUGUUUUCGAACAGCUUAAGUUUACGAAAAAUAUUGAAAGGUACGUAGGUGGAACAAUCUGGUCU
This 1587-nucleotide long non-coding RNA is filed under the name Ananas comosus (pineapple). RNAcentral describes it as "long non-coding RNA (ACOM_LNC006580)". Lineage: Eukaryota; Viridiplantae; Streptophyta; Magnoliopsida; Poales; Bromeliaceae. The record is from RNAcentral.